AAAUAAGAUCUGUGUCUAAUGUUUUCCUUUUUGGUAGCUUACAUCAUGUUACAACAAUUUGUCAAAACUCAGAAUAUACUAGAAUAGUCCCCUAGUUUUAGACACUUAUUAUUGUGUCGUGGUAUUCAUGUCCUCGUCCAACCUUGUAUUUGUUCACAUAUGCAUCCUAUGUCACUCAGAAAUGAAGUCUAUAUCUGCAUC
Molecule: long non-coding RNA, 201 nt
Filed under: Nicotiana benthamiana
Lineage: Eukaryota; Viridiplantae; Streptophyta; Magnoliopsida; Solanales; Solanaceae
Description: long non-coding RNA (NBEN_LNC011086)
Source: RNAcentral